Small nuclear RNA from Suncus etruscus (white-toothed pygmy shrew), 163 nucleotides. RefSeq annotates it as U1 spliceosomal RNA. The transcript has a single exon. NCBI's taxonomy places the organism in Eukaryota, Metazoa, Chordata, Mammalia, Eulipotyphla, Soricidae. The record is from RefSeq and is a predicted model, not a curated record.
AUACUUACCUGGCAGGGGAGAUAACAUGAUCACGAAGGUGGUUUCCCCAGGGCAAGACUCACCCAUUGCACUCCGGAUGUGCUGACCCCUGCGAUUUCCCCAAAUGUGGGAAACUCGACUGCAUAAUUCGUGGUAGUGGGGGACCAUUGUAUACUUGCUUAAG